Molecule: ribosomal RNA, 465 nt
Filed under: uncultured bacterium
Lineage: Bacteria
Description: partial 16S ribosomal RNA
Rfam family: Bacterial small subunit ribosomal RNA
Source: RNAcentral
CCUACGGGUGGCAGCAGUGGGGAAUAUUGCGCAAUGGGCGAAAGCCUGACGCAGCGACGCCGCGUGAGGGAUGAAGGUCUUCGGAUCGUAAACCUCUGUCAGCAGAGAAGUACGGUCACUGUGCUAAUCAGCAGUGAAUUGACGGUACCUGCAAAGGAAGCACCGGCUAACUCCGUGCCAGCAGCCGCGGUAAUACGGAGGAUGCGAGCGUUACUCGGAAUUACUGGGCGUAAAGCGCUCGUAGGCGGGAUGUCAAGUCAAGGGUGAAAUCCCCGCGCUCAACGUGGGAACUGCAUUUGAAACUGGCAAACUGGAGUGUGGGAGAGGAUAGUGGAAUUCCAGGUGUAGGAGUGAAAUCCGUAGAUAUCUGGAGGAACAUCAGUGGCGAAGGCGACUAUCUGGAACAUAACUGACGCUGAGGAGCGAAAGCGUGGGUAGCAAACAGGAUUAGAUACCCCAGUAGUC